CGGACUCCGACUACGACCUGUCUCCCAAGGCCAUGUCCCGCAACUCCUCUCUUACCAGCGAAGGGCUCACAGAAGACUUCAUUGUCACCCCUUUUGCUCAGGUUCUGGCAAGU
Molecule: long non-coding RNA, 113 nt
Organism: Scleropages formosus (Asian bonytongue)
Lineage: Eukaryota; Metazoa; Chordata; Actinopteri; Osteoglossiformes; Osteoglossidae
Exons: 3
Source: RefSeq, a predicted model, not a curated record